RNAcentral lists this ribosomal RNA (253 nucleotides) under uncultured bacterium. RNAcentral's name for it is "partial 16S ribosomal RNA". It matches the Rfam family "Bacterial small subunit ribosomal RNA", at positions 524 to 776 of the family's 1533-position model. The record is from RNAcentral.
GACAGAGGGUGCAAACGUUGCUCGGAAUCACUGGGCGUAAAGGGCGCGUAGGCGGCCGAUUAAGUCGGGGGUGAAAGCCUGUGGCUCAACCACAGAAUUGCCUUCGAUACUGGUUGGCUUGAGACCGGAAGAGGACAGCGGAACUGCGAGUGUAGAGGUGAAAUUCGUAGAUAUUCGCAAGAACACCAGUGGCGAAGGCGGCUGUCUGGUCCGGUUCUGACGCUGAGGCGCGAAAGCGUGGGGAGCAAACAGG